Helianthus annuus (common sunflower) is the source of this 906-nucleotide long non-coding RNA. RefSeq lists it as uncharacterized. The record is from RefSeq and is a predicted model, not a curated record. The transcript is spliced from 4 exons. NCBI's taxonomy places the organism in Eukaryota, Viridiplantae, Streptophyta, Magnoliopsida, Asterales, Asteraceae.
CAUACAAGAGAACUGUGUUCCCUUUUCUUUCAGUUGCGCAGACAAAAAAAAAAAAAAAACAAAACGGAGCAUGGUCUCCUUCUUCUUCAGCUGACCUUCUCCAAUCCACAAAUCACCAGUCCAUGCUCAUUCUUUUUCAAUAUGGUGAAGCCCUAAAUCACCUCCACAACACACUCACCUACACCUCGAUUCCUUUUCCCUCUCCUUCUCCGACGCGACACCACCACACCCCUUCGUUUUCUCCGGCGGUCCAUCGGUGGUGGCGAAGUGGAUGGCGUCAGUUGUGGCUCGAGAUAGGUAGAAGCGGAGAGAGAGAAACAGACAGCGGAGAACGACGACGGCAGUGGCACCGCCGUCUGCGGCGGCGGUCCGGUCGUGGUUCAGGUUCGGGUUCCGGCCGACGGGAAUGAACUCCGGUGGACAUCAGUCCGGUUUCCCUUUAAAUUUAAUCUCGGUUCGUUGUUCGGUUCUAGUCUCACAACACAGACGGUUCGGGUCAGAAUCUGUUUCGAGUUUUGUUUGUUUUCGUUCGAUUCCGGUCACCGAUGACAGCCGGAGCCGCAUCUUCGGGAAUGGUGUCGGCGGGGAUAGUGUUGGCAGUGGUGUCGUUUCAGUCUCAACUCGGGUUAACUCGGUUCGGUUUUGAGGCGUGAUUUGGCGUUCAGGUCAAAACCGGUCAAACAGUCAACGUGGGCUUCGGGAUCUCUCCCGUUUCUGUUUCGGGUCAAACUUGGUCAACCUUCGGUCAAGUCGGGUCAACUAGUCAAACACGAGGUUGGGGUGACAUCGGUGUUCCAUCAUCCUAACCUCACACUCGUCGACACUUGGAUAAUCGGAAGACUUAGCAAUUCUGUUGAUUAUUGAAGUAUGGAUGAUUGAUGAAACAAGUUUAGGGUGGCUAGAUAC